This is a non-coding RNA of Arachis ipaensis, 124 nucleotides long. Lineage: Eukaryota; Viridiplantae; Streptophyta; Magnoliopsida; Fabales; Fabaceae. The record is from RefSeq and is a predicted model, not a curated record.
UUUCUCUCUUGUUUGGCUAAUGUAUUACUUCUACUUUUACUACCAGUUGCAAUUGGGCCUCAAACUGAUCUGCUAAGGACUCAAAUAUACUCAAAUAGAAAUCUAGAUACCAUCUAAUAUAAAA